Molecule: long non-coding RNA, 4512 nt
Organism: Dreissena polymorpha
Lineage: Eukaryota; Metazoa; Mollusca; Bivalvia; Myida; Dreissenidae
Exons: 2
Source: RefSeq, a predicted model, not a curated record
AAUUUAAUGAGGUAGUUUACAUAAUGCCCUGUCUGUUGGUUUGUUUGUUUGUGCAAACCUUAACAUUUGCAAUAACUUUUGCAAUAUUAAAGGUAGCAACUUCAUAUAUAGCAUGCAUGUGUAUCUCAAGGAUCUACACACUUUGAGUUGUGUAAGGUCAAGGUAUUUUUUUUGUUGGUAAAAUUGAUGAAUUAAUAUGACAUCUCUUUGCAAAUUGUUUAAAAAUUAAUACAUAACUUGUUUCAGAAACAUGUUUAAUAACAUUCGAUUGUCAUUUAUUCGAAUUUGAAAGUUGUCAAAAGUAAUUAUUUCUCCCUAUACGGUAGCUUUAGGUAUAUGUGAUAUGUCAUAAGAAAACUAGUCUUCAUUGCAUUACAAAUUAAUGAAGCAUUCUUUACAUUUGCUUUUAUGACAAAAAAACUAGUUUAGACUUGUAAAAUUGAUAAAAAUAAUUAUUUGAACAUAAAGUUUGACCAGAGUGAACAAUUUAAACACACAAGUUUAUAACGACGUGUAUCUUGUGCUUUGCAUUUGUUUAAAAGUUGCCUUAUAAUUGUGCGAAGCAUGUCUUCUCAAAUUAAAAAUGCAUCUUAUUCAAAGGUGAUCAGAACUAAAUGUGUUGUUUUUUUAUAAUUCAGGGAUAAAAAAAAAUCAGACUAAGAAACCAUAUACAAUAAUUCAUAGUCUGUUGUCUUCACAGAGAGAAACUUCAAUAAAAAAAAUAUGCUGUCAUUUUAUAAUACCUUCGUGUUUGCCUCACGGUUGCCUAUUGAUUGUUUUAAAAUAGGAAGUUUAUAAUGAGGUAUAUAACACAAAGAAAUUUCAUAUUUGAAUCAUUUUUAUGCUCCUCUAAAAAAUUCUUGUCUGAGCUUUUUCUCAGCAACUUAUUACGGGAAUUCAAUGAAACUUUAUGGGAAGCUUCACUACCAAGAGGAGAUGUGCAUGUUAUCAGCCAGUUAUGGUCGGAUGAUUUUUCACAGAGUUAUGGCCCAUUGAAAUUUUCCAUUAACUGUACAUAUUGUGCAUUCUUGUUCGGGCUAUUUUAGCAACUAAUGUCUGCAAUUGAAUGAAACUUUAUGGGAAGCUUCACUACCAACAGGACAUGUGCAUAUUAUCAGCAAGUUAUGUUCGGAUGAUUUUUCACAGAGUUAUGGCCCUUUGAAAUUUUCAAUAUACUGUACAUAUAGUGCAAUUCUUGUCUGGGCUAUUUAUCCCCAACUAAUAACUUGAAUUCAAUGAAGUUUUAUGGGAAGCUUAACUGCCUUGAAGAGAUGUGCGUGUUAUUUGUGGGUUCUGGUUAGAUGAUUUAUUUAGAGACUCAUGGCCCUUUGAAAUUGUUAAGUUGCUAAACCAUCCAUCCUAUUAUUUUGUCCAAAGUUAUGCCCCUCAAGAUGUUUCCUUUUAUCUGAAUAUAUAGUGCAAUAUUGUGACCAAAAAAAACUUUGGGGAGCUUCACCCAUCUCUGACGGCUUGUUUUAAUUAAAUAUUAAUUGUAAAUCCCAUAUCACCUUUUAUCAUACUUUUUUGUAAUUUACAACUUGGUUUUCUGACAAUUGUUUUCCUUGUUUUGUUUCAAAUAGGCAUGAUAUGGUUACUAUUAAAUCAACUUCAUAUGUUCUUCCCUUGUGAUAAGUAUUUUUUAUAUCUAUUUCUUAAUAUUUUUCAGUAGUAAUAAUGUCUAAGAAUGUAUCUGGGUAGAAUGAAUAUCUGUUCUUUUAAAGGUUGUAACUGAUGCUCUAUUUCUUUUGGACAUGACAUGUUACUGUCUCGUUUGUACAGAGAUUCAAUUAAAUACUACAUUUUAUUAUGUGUGAUUCUAUUUUUGUGUUCCAAAUAGGCAGUCUGACAUAUUAGGUAUAUUGAAAACUCUUACAUAUAACAUUUGUAAGUAUCUGUUAUUAAUGAUAGUUAAAUGAAACAAUGGUUGUAUAGUUGUGUAUAUUACAAAGUAUAAUUAUUGUUAUAUUUCGAAAUAUGUUAUGUUUAUAUUUUAAUUUUCAUACACUUUCAACUAUAAUUUGUAAUAGUGCCGUUGCUACUUAAAUUUUAUGUGGUUUGGAUGCUCACUGUUAUAUUCUAUGCUCCUUCAAAAUACAAUUAAGGUUUCACCUUAACAGUUAUAACGCGAGUGAAAAGCAUCCAUAUGUAGCAAUAUACACUGUAAACAUGUGAUUUAAAACAAGUUUUGUUCAAUUAUCUGUAAAGUUCAUUCAUAACUAUUUUAUAACAUGUCUGCUAAAUCCACUUACUGUAUUCAAGCAUUUUGCAUUAUUGUUUUUGUUUAACACUAGAAACUGUAAAGUUUAUGUGUAAUAAAAUUAUGUUCUGUUCUGUAAUGAUUGUAUGCUGAUGUAGUUGUUGCAUUAACAUUAAGUAGACAUAAAAAUUCGGUAUUCUAUAUACUACUAACAUUUUAUUGUGAUUCAAGUUGUAUUAAGUUUUGUUCUCUAAACAGAUAUUGAAUUAUUUUACUGAUACAACAACAUACGGUAUUAAAGCAGUUCCAUAUAUAGCUAGAUACACUGUUAUCAUGUUUGUCUAAAAUAUCUGUAAAGUCUAUCCAUAACCAAAUUAUGAUAUUUCUGUUAGAAAAAAAACGACAAACUAUAUGUAUUCAUGUAUUUUGUAUAAUCGCUUUGUUUAACACUAGAAACUGUAAAGUUUAUGUGUAAUAAAAUUAUGUUCUGUAUAUUACAUGAUAAUCUAUCAAUGUUGUUUUGUGAACACAACCUCUGGUUCUAUGGAAAAAAAAACACAAACCUUAAGCACUUAAUUUGUCGGUAUGUGUGCAUUUGUGUGUAUGGGUGUGCGAUAAAUUGCAAGUGUUUCCUGUUCGCGUGUUUGUGUUUUGUGUGAAUUAUGUUAAGCAAAUUAAUUUAACAAAAAAGUUUAUUUGACUUUAUUAGAUGAUAGUAUUGAGUGUCCUACCAAGAAAAAUUGGUGCACGCUAUUAAGGGAUCUACUAAGUAAUUUGGGAUUUUAUGAUGCUUGGUUUUUUCAAGAUGUUGGAAAUAAAAUAUGUUUGUAUCAGUCGUAAGACAAAGAUAGAGCGACAUGUUUGUACAGAAUUGGAAUGAGCGACUUCAUACUUCUACUAGGGCAAAUUUUUAUAAACAUAUCUCGUUUUUCAAUUUCAACCGUACCUGAAUACAUGUAUAUGCAAUGUCAACAAGUUUCGAGUAAAUUUAUCAAAAUUACGUAUGUCAUCACAUAGAUUAAAUAUCGAGUCAGGCAGAUGGGCUAGACCUACACCAAUUCCAUUAGAUCAAAGAAAGUGUACUGUUUGUAAUUAACUCGAAAAAGAGUUUCAUUUUAUUCUUGAAUGUACAAUAUAUACUGAACUGAGAUCAAAAUAUAUUCCAUUGUAUUACAGACAACGACCAAACAUGUACAAAUUUAUCGAGCUAAUAGAGCUAAUAACAUCAAAUAAUGAACUAUUAAUAAAAAAAUUAAGCUGUUAUAUUUAUCACUCUUUUAAGGUUCGAACGCAUAAUACAUGUGUCAUCAAUUUGAUUUAUUCUGAAAUGUUUUGUGCGGUAUAUAUCUUGUUGUAACUUUAAUUGCAUUUAUUAUGUACUGCAUAUUAAUUGUUGGGAUAGUACCGCAUAUGUAACGUGUUUUUAUUCACGUGUUUUUUAAUCUGUCUUUGUGUUUUAACGGUCGCCUUUAAUGGACUGUCAAAACUGUAUUUGAAUGUAUUUAAUCAAUUGCCAUUAUUAUCUUUUUAAUGAAGGUUAUAUUAUAGUAUCGUGUCUGUUCCUAGAUGUAUUCUACGACAAUAUGGCUGCAUUUUUAGAACUGUUAUGCACUGAUUUACAACUAUUAUGUCUGUCGGUCGGUCGGUCCGUAUACCAGGUGGUUUCCGGAUGAUAACUCAAUAACGCUUGGGCCUAGGAUCUUGAAACUUCAUAGGUACAUUGAUCAUGACUCGCAGAUGACCCCUAUUGAUUUUCAGGUCACAAGGUCAAGGUCACGGUGACCCGAAAUAGUAACAUGGUUUCCGGAUGAUAACUGAAGAACGCUUAUGCCUAGGAUCAUGAAACUUCAUGGGUAGAUUGAUCAUGACUUGCAGAUGACCCCUAUUGAUUUUGAGGUCACUAGGUCAAAGGUCAAGGUCACGGUGACAAAAAUCGUAUACACACAAUGGCUGCCACUACAACGGACAGCCCAUAUGGGGGGCAUGCAUGUUUUACAAACAGCCCUUGUUUGUAUAUUGCAUUAAAUUGAGUUUAUUAGCCUCAUACACUCUGACGCACUUAGGAUAUAUUUAAUUACAUGUAUACUUUCGAUAAUUAUUUAUGUUCUAGUGUAAUGUAUAAUAACUCAUAAUGUAUAAUAAUUCAUGUAGGCACCGUUGUAACCAAACGAUUUUAUUUCUUUGCAUAACUUUAUUUUGUAUAAUCAUAAACUGUGUAUUGUGGAAACACUGUAUCAUGUAUGCUUGAUUUGUCCACUUGGGCUUUUGGCUUUCUGGAUGGAUUGUUUAAUAAACUAUGUUCUAAAAAAUGCAAA